This 107-nucleotide ribosomal RNA is filed under the name Phycisphaeraceae bacterium. The record is from RNAcentral. Lineage: Bacteria; Pseudomonadati; Planctomycetota; Phycisphaerae; Phycisphaerales; Phycisphaeraceae.
UUCGGUGAUGAUAAGCCUGGGGAAACACCUGUUCCCAUCCCGAACACAGCAGUUAAGCCCAGGCUGCCGAUGAUACUGCACUGCGGGAAAGUAGGUGAUCGCCGGAG